UGGGGAAUAUUGCACAAUGGGCGCAAGCCUGAUGCAGCCAUGCCGCGUGUAUGAAGAAGGCCUUCGGGUUGUAAAGUACUUUCAGUCGGUAGGAAGGUGGUAAGGUUAAUAACCUUAUCAAUUGACGUUACCGACAGAAGAAGCACCGGCUAACUCCGUGCCAGCAGCCGCGGUAAUACGGAGGGUGCAAGCGUUAAUCGGAAUUACUGGGCGUAAAGCGCACGCAGGCGGUUGAUUGAGUCAGAUGUGAAAUCCCCGGGCUUAACCCGGGAAUUGCAUCUGAUACUGGUCAGCUAGAGUCUUGUAGAGGGGGGUAGAAUUCCAUGUGUAGCGGUGAAAUGCGUAGAGAUGUGGAGGAAUACCGGUGGCGAAGGCGGCCCCCUGGACAAAGACUGACGCUCAGGUGCGAAAGCGUGGGGAGCAAACAGG
This 429-nucleotide ribosomal RNA is filed under the name Chloroflexota bacterium. RNAcentral describes it as "Chloroflexi bacterium partial 16S ribosomal RNA". It matches the Rfam family "Bacterial small subunit ribosomal RNA", at positions 355 to 776 of the family's 1533-position model. The record is from RNAcentral. Lineage: Bacteria; Bacillati; Chloroflexota.